Transfer RNA from Dactylellina haptotyla CBS 200.50, 74 nucleotides. It matches the Rfam family "tRNA". From Rfam's summary of the family: Transfer RNA (tRNA) molecules are approximately 80 nucleotides in length. Their secondary structure includes four short double-helical elements and three loops (D, anti-codon, and T loops). Further hydrogen bonds mediate the characteristic L-shaped molecular structure. tRNAs have two regions of fundamental functional importance: the anti-codon, which is responsible for specific mRNA codon recognition, and the 3' end, to which the tRNAs corresponding amino acid is attached (by aminoacyl-tRNA synthetases). tRNAs cope with the degeneracy of the genetic code in two manners: having more than one tRNA (with a specific anti-codon) for a particular amino acid; and 'wobble' base-pairing, i.e. permitting non-standard base-pairing at the 3rd anti-codon position. The record is from Rfam. NCBI's taxonomy places the organism in Eukaryota, Fungi, Ascomycota, Orbiliomycetes, Orbiliales, Orbiliaceae.
GCUCAAGAAGCUCAAUUUGGUGGAGCGGAACACUGAAGAUGUUUAGGCUGUAAGUUCAAAUCUUAUCUUGAGCA